Non-coding RNA from Erinaceus europaeus (western European hedgehog), 122 nucleotides. The record is from Rfam. NCBI's taxonomy places the organism in Eukaryota, Metazoa, Chordata, Mammalia, Eulipotyphla, Erinaceidae.
UGACCCCCAUGGCGCCUACUGGCCUCGUGGUGUUCCAGGCCUAGUCGCCAUACUCCCGCCCACCGCCUUCCUUCUACUCCAGCAGCACAAUCUCUUCGGUAGUUCUAACGCGGCGCCCCCUA